Molecule: ribosomal RNA, 391 nt
Filed under: Crustacea sp. 'Maxillopoda'
Lineage: Eukaryota; Metazoa; Arthropoda
Description: partial small subunit ribosomal RNA
Rfam family: Eukaryotic small subunit ribosomal RNA
Source: RNAcentral
AUUCCAGCUCCAAUAGCGUACAUUAAAGUUGUUGUGGUUAAAAAGCUCGUAGUUGGAUCUCAACAGCCUUGAAGCGGUUAACUUUGUAGUUUUACUGCUUUAUAGGCUGUGCUUUUGCUGGAGGUUUAGGGGUGCUCUUAACCGAGUGUCUUGCGAUGCUGGCAGGUUUACUUUGAAAAAAUUAGAGUGCUCAAAGCAGGCUUUUACGCCUGAAUAUUCGUGCAUGGAAUAAUAGAAUAGGAAGUCGUUUCUAUUUUGUUGGUUUUCGGAAAUCGACUUAAUGAUUAAUAGGGACAGUCGGGGGCAUUUGUAUUCAAACGACAGAGGUGAAAUUCUUGGACCGUUUGAAGACAAACUACUGCGAAAGCAUUUGCCAAGAAUGUUUUCAUUA